This 305-nucleotide unclassified non-coding RNA is filed under the name plant metagenome. RNAcentral's name for it is "partial contains 5.8S ribosomal RNA, internal transcribed spacer 2, and large subunit ribosomal RNA". The stretch from base 1 to 105 matches the Rfam family "5.8S ribosomal RNA", at positions 50 to 154 of the family's 154-position model. The record is from RNAcentral.
GAAAUGCGAUAAGUAAUGUGAAUUGCAGAAUUCAGUGAAUCAUCGAAUCUUUGAACGCACAUUGCGCCCGCCAGUAUUCUGGCGGGCAUGCCUGUUCGAGCGUCAUUUCAACCAUCAAGCCCCCGGCUUGUGUUGGGGACCUGCGGCUGCCCGCAGGCCCUGAAAAACAGUGGCGGGCUCGCUGUCACACCGAGCGUAGUAGCAUACAUUCUCGCUCAGGGCGUGCUGCGGGUUCCGGUCGUUAAACGACCUUCAUAACCCAAGGUUGACCUCGGAUCAGGUAGGAAGACCCGCUGAACUUAAGC